GAAAUGGCGAAAAUUUAAGAUAUCCGGAAAAAUUUUUGGCUUCACGGAAAAUUUUUGUAUGUCCGGAAAAAAUUUUUGACCCCUAAAAUGGUACACUGACCGAAUUUUUUUUGGCGACGGGGGGUGGGGGGGGGGGAGGUCGCCAAAAAAUUUUGCAGUAAAAAAAAAAAUUUCAGUAAAGGUGCCCUUGGUGUGCGUCCGCCCCCCUUUGCCCUAUUAUCGUUCCGGCGUCCCUGCACGUGAGUACUUACACAUUACUAUUCCACUGUGUAUAAAUGUAGAACGAAAUUAUAACCUUCCCUAAGCCUUCAAAUACAUAUAAUAUAAUACCCAAUAUUUACG
This is a non-coding RNA of Paramuricea clavata, 342 nucleotides long. Lineage: Eukaryota; Metazoa; Cnidaria; Anthozoa; Malacalcyonacea; Plexauridae. The record is from the annotation of a GenBank genome assembly.